Molecule: ribosomal RNA, 612 nt
Filed under: Triticum aestivum (bread wheat)
Lineage: Eukaryota; Viridiplantae; Streptophyta; Magnoliopsida; Poales; Poaceae
Description: partial small subunit ribosomal RNA
Source: RNAcentral
UGCACGUUGUGCGGCGCGGGGGCGGACGUGCACUGCCACGCCGACGCCGCGUUCCUCUGCGCGCCGUGCGAUGCCCAGGUGCACGGCGCCAACUCCCUGGCGUCCCGCCACCGCCGGACGCGCGUACCGCCCGAGCCCAGCCACGUCCGCGCUGAGGUUUCGGCAACGACGAUGGGCCUGGACCCCUGGGCUGCGCGCCUAGGUGCCGUCGCAGCCCACCGCCCGCCCGAGCCCAACCACGUCCGUGCCGAUGUUUCAGCCAGGGCGAUGGGCCUGGACCACUGGGCUGCGCGGAUAGGCCUGGAUGAGGGGGCUACGCGCCUGCGUGCCGCCGGAGCCUUCCGCACGCUCCGGGGCGAGUUCGCCGCUGCAGCGCCGCGCAUUCCGUUGCCACUGCGUGUCCCAAUGGCAGCCGCGUUGUGGAGGGAGGUGGCGGCUCACGGCGGCGUCCACGAGCCCGGCAAAGCGCUCCAACGCCUAGCAGCCUGGGCGCACGUGCCAGCGAGUUCCCUUGUGACGGUGGCGAUCGGGCGCGCGCGCCAAGUAAGGACGGCCAUAGUGGACGUUGGGGAGGACACGGUCGACUGCGCGAUCGUGAGCCCACGAGAAAAU